UAUGCACUAUUCUCUUCAGUACGAAAGGACCAAAAGAAUGGGACCCACACUCACAGCAAGUCCCCCCCCCCCCCGGAAAUAUUUCAAACCCCCAGUACCCUUCACCCCAAAAACAGGGC
This 119-nucleotide ribosomal RNA is filed under the name Varanus scalaris. RNAcentral's name for it is "partial 16S ribosomal RNA". Lineage: Eukaryota; Metazoa; Chordata; Lepidosauria; Squamata; Varanidae. The record is from RNAcentral.